GAUGAGCCAAAAAGCGGGAGUAGUAGUAGUAGUACAACUACUACCGUGAUGAGUGAUGUGGAUUGGACUUGAGAAGGUGCUAAUGGCAUAUGCCUUGGAAGAUCCUGAUAUGAAACCUCUUUUUUCACUCCUUUUCUAAUUUUGUAUUGAUAUGCUUAGCUUUAGCAUCCCAAAAGUCACACCCCUACUUAAGUCACCUCACCCUUUUAUUGCUCGCAUGACCAACGACAUCCUUAUAAAACCCCAGCCCUCCUCCUUGAUCAAACCCUCUCCUUGUCGUCACGCUCACACAUGUGAGGAGUGCACUCGUUUUUGCUUCUCCGCUGCCCUUGCCAGUGUAAUGGCAAUGAUCCCGAGUCUGAUCAAUCCGGUGGCAAGGGUGGCUGAGCGUCUCCUCCCGUGGUGAUCGAUGGUCCCCGCCAGCAGCUGGGGAAAGCCUACUUCAGCUGCGGAUAUGUGUACGCUCACCUUCCAAGGUAACGUCUAUCCUUUAGCAUCUUGAGCAGUUCUUGCCACAAUAACAAGUAACAAGAGACGAGAAAUUGCCAUCAGAAGAGUGAUUUCUGUUCUUGAUAUGAUAUGGUGUAUCAGCACCAUAGGGCAACUUCGAUCCUUUGGCAUGUUGAUCGGUGCUUACCUAGAGUCGCCUAUAUUAGGAAAAUAAUAAUCUCAAGGGCUAGGCAGAUGAUGCUUAAAUCAAAUGUUGUUUUCUUCUGCUGGAUCUGUUACUUAUUAUAGCACCGUAUGUCAUCCAUCGUAUAGGGCAACUUCUAUCCUUUGGCAUCUUGAUCGGUACUUACUUGUAUUUCUGUUUUUAAUAUAGUACGAUAUAUCGUCAUAUCAUAUGAGGUAACUUCUAUCC
Non-coding RNA from Coffea arabica (coffee), 862 nucleotides. NCBI's taxonomy places the organism in Eukaryota, Viridiplantae, Streptophyta, Magnoliopsida, Gentianales, Rubiaceae. The record is from RefSeq and is a predicted model, not a curated record.